RNAcentral lists this transfer RNA (76 nucleotides) under Mus musculus (house mouse). Its description in RNAcentral is "tRNA-Ser". The record is from RNAcentral. Lineage: Eukaryota; Metazoa; Chordata; Mammalia; Rodentia; Muridae.
GGCUGGUGAGAUGGCUCAGUGGGUAAGAGCACCCGACUGCUCUUCUGAAGGUCCAGAGUUCGAAUCCCAGCAGCCA